RNAcentral lists this ribosomal RNA (301 nucleotides) under uncultured bacterium. RNAcentral describes it as "partial 16S ribosomal RNA". It matches the Rfam family "Bacterial small subunit ribosomal RNA", at positions 509 to 807 of the family's 1533-position model. The record is from RNAcentral.
CAGCCGCCGCGGGAAUACGAAGGGGGCUAGCGUUGUUCGGAUUUACUGGGCGUAAAGCGCACGUAGGCGGACAUUUAGGUCAGGGGUGAAAUCCCAGAGCUCAACUCUGGAACUGCCUUUGAUACUGGGUGUCUGGAGUAUGGAAGAGGUAAGUGGAAUUCCGAGUGUAGAGGUGAAAUUCGUAGAUAUUCGGAGGAACACCAGUGGCGAAGGCGGCUUACUGGUCCAUUUCUGACGCUGAGGUGCGAAAGCGUGGGGAGCAAACAGGAUUAGAUACCCCUGUAGUCCCUGUCUCUUAUAC